This 87-nucleotide transfer RNA is filed under the name Solirubrobacterales bacterium. RNAcentral describes it as "tRNA-Ser". It matches the Rfam family "tRNA". Rfam says of the family: Transfer RNA (tRNA) molecules are approximately 80 nucleotides in length. RNAcentral also lists the same sequence under 2 other names. The record is from RNAcentral. Lineage: Bacteria; Bacillati; Actinomycetota; Thermoleophilia; Solirubrobacterales.
GGAGGGGUGCGAGAGCGGUUGAAUCGGGCAGUCUCGAAAACUGUUGUGCCUUUCGGGGUACCGUGGGUUCGAAUCCCACCCCCUCCG